Molecule: ribosomal RNA, 507 nt
Filed under: uncultured bacterium
Lineage: Bacteria
Description: partial 16S ribosomal RNA
Rfam family: Bacterial small subunit ribosomal RNA
Source: RNAcentral
AUUGAACGCUGGCGGCAGGCCUAACACAUGCAAGUCGAGCGGCAGCGGGAAAGUAGCUUGCUACUUUUGCCGGCGAGCGGCGGACGGGUGAGUAAUGCCUGGGAAAUUGCCCAGUCGAGGGGGAUAACAGUUGGAAACGACUGCUAAUACCGCAUACGCCCUACGGGGGAAAGCAGGGACCUUCGGGCCUUGCGCGAUUGGAUAUGCCCAGGUGGGAUUAGCUAGUUGGUGAGGUAAUGGCUCACCAAGGCGACGAUCCCUAGCUGGUCUGAGAGGAUGAUCAGCCACACUGGAACUGAGACACGGUCCAGACUCCUACGGGAGGCAGCAGUGGGGAAUAUUGCACAGUGGGGGAAACCCUGAUGCAGCCAUGCCGCGUGUGUGAAGAAGGCCUUCGGGUUGUAAAGCACUUUCAGCGAGGAGGAAAGGUUGAUGCCUAAUACGUAUCAACUGUGACGUUACUCGCAGAAGAAGCACCGGCUAACUCCGUGCCAGCAGCCGCGGUAA